RNAcentral lists this long non-coding RNA (12222 nucleotides) under Homo sapiens (human). RNAcentral's name for it is "HSALNT0153817". Lineage: Eukaryota; Metazoa; Chordata; Mammalia; Primates; Hominidae. The record is from RNAcentral.
UCACAUUCCCAAAUAUUUGCUUGUACCUGAACAGGAACACCAAAAUUAAUGAAAGGCAGUGUCAUGUAGUGGAAAGGGAGUGAGCUGGGAGUUGGGUCUUUUUCAAAUCUUGGCUCUGAUACCUGUGCUGUUUGACCUUAGCCUGCCUCUUAGCCCUCCCAGGUCAUCAGUUUCAUCUGCCAUAAAAUAAGGCAAUUACUUUUUUCCAAACGUCAGUCAUGUAAGCCCCAUCUUCACUAUGUUUCCCAUGUUGACAUAUGCCACAUUGUGAUUUUUGUCACAUCUACAUGUCAUCUGCACUAUUUACAUUUGUAGUUACAGUUUUCUCACUUCCUCACAUUUUUUUCUUGAAAUUGACUUUAAAAAGGAAAUUUUAGGCUGGGCGCUGUGGCUCAUGCCUGUAAUCCCAGCACUUCGGGAGGCCGAGGCGGGUGGAUCACCUGAGGUCAGGAGUUCGAGAGCAGCCUGGCCAACAUGGUGAAACCCUGUCUCUACUAAAAAUACGAAAAUUAGCUAUGCGUGGUGGCACACACCUACAGUCCCAGCUACUUGGGAGGCUGAAGCAGGAGAAUCACUUGAACCCAGGAGGCAGAGGUUGCAGUGAGCCAAGAUCGUGCCACUACACUCUAGCCUGGGAGACAGAGCAAGAGUGUCUCAAAAAAAAAAAAAAAAAAAGGAAAUUUUAUAGGAUUACUAUGGAUAGAAAUCACUGUCGGUUGUCUGAACAGAGGUAGUCAUGAACAUAAAUAAAAUAAAGGAGAAUGAUGCUUUUAAUUAUCUCUGGAAAGUGCUGCCUGUUGAGGACUGGCCGCCUGAGAUUCACCCUCUCCUUUUGAAGCAGGGAGAUUAGUAAAUGGUAGCAGUGUUGAGGACAUCCCAACAUCCACCUGAGAUUUUCCUCUUUUCUAAUCAAAAAGAUUGAAAGACAACUUAAAAGAGAAUAACUUCUCACUACAGAACUCAAAGUUAAUAUCCUACUGUAUCACCUAAAUUAUCUCAAUACUCCCGUGGGGUAGGAAACAACUGAUAGUAUCUAAGGUCUUCUCCCACACUGAUAUCCCAUUUUUGCCUUCCUAUAGAGAAAGGACGAUCAUAAUUAGUAGAAAAUCUGAGUUACGGACUAUUCUGAGAAAAAAAUGUCGUUCAAUAUCCAAACAGAAAUGUUGUCAAAACAUUUUCCAAUUAGAAGGACCUUGAAUAUACAUUAAUAAGUAGAUAGAAAUGAUUUGAGAUUUGCACGGUCAUCAUAUAUUUUAAAAUAAACACUUCCAAAUGAUUUGGCAGUGCCUGAACCAUUGUUCAUCCUCUUGAGUAACUUAAACACCACCCCCCUAAAAUCUUGUUUACACCGUUGAUUUGCUUAAUGAGGCAUUUUGUCAGGCAGUAUAUAAAUUUAACCAGAGCCUAUGUCAUCAAAUUAGCACAGCUUCAAAAUCAGUGAAGUUCAAAUGACUCAUGAUAUCAGAGAUAUUAUUACAAAAACAAAUAUCAGUGGAUGUUUUGACCAUAUAUUCAUUAUAAUGAAUUAGUCGGAUUGACACAGCAAAGCCUUCAUUAUAGGACUCUCCAAGGGAGUUAUUUCUUUGGAACCAUUUAAAUAUAAUACUUGUCCUAAUUGGACAGAUAUCAAAUGAGGGAAAAAGCCUUCAAAUAUCUCUGAAUGAUCUUAGAUUAAUUGAUACAUGUAGCCUUUCGACUGUAGCAGAAUAUUCACUAAUCUUAGUUUUUUUCUUUCCUAAGUUUUUGCCUUUUUGCUUUUGCUACUUUAUGUGAUCUUGGGAAAGUUCCUUUCUCUUUCUGGAAUUAAUAUCCACAUUUGUUUUUAAAAGGGGUUGGAAGUUGGACUGGAGCAGAAGUUAGCAUACUUUUUCUGUGAAAGAGCAGAUAGUAAAUAUUUCCAGCUUCAUAGGCCAUCUGGUCUGUUACAACUCAGUCAUUGUAGCAAGAAAGCAACUGCAGGCAAUAUGUAAAUGAAUGAGCCUGGCUGUGUCCCAAUAAAACUUUAUUUACAAAAACAGAUUGUGGGCCAGAUUUGGCCCAUGGGCCCAUAGUUUGCCUUUCUUGGGCUAGAGGAUCUCUAACUUCCAGCCCUGACAUUGUCUUUGUGUUGAAGGGAAGACACUUGCCCAAAGUCUAUCAUUUGACAGAGCUGGGAUUGAAACCUGGGUCUCUAAAUUUAAGUUCACAAAUCAUUUCCCACAACAGAAUACCUGACCAACCAACAAACCUGCAACUACAAGACAGGACAUCAAGUGUCUCCACAGAGAAUGGAAAGAAUUGCUAUUACCAUGUCAGGCACAAUUACUUUAAAAUUACUUUAGCAGAAAGUCAUUAGAUUCCAUGAUUAAGGUGGCAUUAAGUUUUUCCUCUAUUGCCAAGAAAUGUAUCAGACUGGAAGAAAAAACUUGAGAAGGACAGGGGUGGUGGGGGCAGCUUUGGAUAUUCAUAAAAGUCCUACACUGAAACGAAAACUAUUUCUUAUUCACCCCACAUGGGAACAGCACAAUAUGGUAUAUAACAAAGCACUUUCAUAUGUGUUGUUUGAUUUAAUUGUCACAACAUCUCUGUGAUGUAGGACUCAAAGGCUCUGAGUAACUACGGUCACUUAGUAACUGACAUCAGAGGCAGGAAACAAUGGUUUAUGCUAUGCUUGCAUUUCAUUCAUCCACUCAUUCGCUUGUCUAUUCAUCCAUUUAGACAAAUAUUUGACAGACAAUUGACAAGGCAGGGGAUAAGCAGUUAAAUUAAACCACAUUGUUCCUGCCCUCAUGCAGCUUACAGUCCAGUGGGGGAAAGAGACAAUGAACAAAAAAAUAAACCAUUAACUAAGUAAGUAUCAACAGUACUAAGAAGGUGCUAAGAAGAAAACAAACAUGGAGAAAGGAUACAGGAUUGAGGUGGGAGCUUCCUCAGGUACAGGGGUCAGAAGAGGCUUAGGAAGAAGAGAGUUUGUAGCUGAGCUAGGAAGGUUGGGAAGAAGCCAUGGAAAAAGGAGAAGAACUUGAUUGGUUCAAGGAAUUAAAAAAAAAAAAAAAAGUCUGGGUGUUGGAGUCAAAGAGCUGACAUCCAGUUAGGUCAUUCCCCAAUGUGAGCCCCAGGCUUGCCAUCAACAGAAUGGAAAUGCCAACACCUUCCAGGGAUGAAGCCACAUUGCUGGGAUUCAGGUCCUCUCCUUUUUUAACACGUUAGUCCGUUUUCACAUGGCUAUAAAAAGACUACCCAAGAUUGGGUAAUUUAUAAAGGAAAGAGGUUUAAUUGACUCAUAGUUCCAUGUGGCUGGGGAGGCCUCAAGAAACUUAAAAUCAUAACAGAACACAAAGAAAAAUCAAGUACCCUUUUCACAAGGUGGUAGGAAAGAGAAAAAUGAAGGAGGAACUUCCAAACAGUUACAAAACCAUCAGAUGUUGUGAGAACUCACCAUCACGAGCCAAUCACCCCCCCUCUCUCAACACGUGGGGGUUACAAGUUCCUUCCUCGACAUGUGGGAAUUACAAUUUGACAUGAGAUUUGGGUAGGGACAGAGACCCAAACUAUAUCACAUGAAUACAAGACCAGUAGCAAGUUACUUAACUAUCUUAUGACUCCAUUAGCUUGCCUAAAAACCGGCAUGAUAAUAAUGAUACCUACACCUCACUGGUAGGUGGUGGUAGAGGUUUAAUGAGAUCACCCUGUAAAGCAUUAAGCAUAGCGCCUGGUAUCCAGUAAGUACUUAAUAAACAUAGAUUGCUGUGGGGAUUAGAAAAAUAAUGAGGAGGAAAGUGAAUCUUUUUUAAACUACUCUAUGCCCAGACUGUAUUAAGUGAUUAUUUUCAUUAUCCUCACAGUCCUAUGUUACAAGUAAAGGAUAAAUGUAUUCCUAACCCAAAGUCACAUUAUGAUAAAUAGUGAGAUCAGGAUCUAGUUCAGGUCUAGAUGAUUUCAUAGGCCACAAUUUACCUGGUCUUUCACUGUUAUUCCAAGGAAACAUCAGAGGUCCAGUUCUGCCCUACAGAGAAAGCCACCCACCCCGUGCUGGUGCCUGAAGAGCGAAGAUUCUGGUGGAGGGGCUACAGUUCUGUUCAGAGUAAACAGGGCAGCCAUCUAGGCUUGUGAAAAGGGCUCCCUGUACAAGCAGGAUCCAGGAUCCAUCCAUCAUCCCAGUCUCCAUUGUCCAUCCCUGUCUCUAUCCAUCAUCACUAUCUUCAUCCGUCCAUCCCAGUCCCCAUCCAUCCGUCCCAGUCCCCAUCAUCCAUCCCAGGGUCCAUCCAUUUAUCACAGCUUCUAUCCAUCUAUCACAGUCUCUGUCCAUCCAUCCCAGUAUCUAUCCAUCAUCAGUCUUCAUCGAUCCAUCCCAGUCUCCAUCCAUCCAUCCCAGUCCCCAUCAUCCAUCCCAGUGUCCAUCCAUUUACCAGUCUCUAUCCAUCCAUCAGUCUCUGUCCAUCCAUCCCAGUCUCUAUUCAUUUAUCACUGUCUUCAUCCAUCCAUGCAAGUCUCUGUCCAUCCAUCCCAGUCUCCAUUGUCCAUCCCAGUGUCUGUCUACUUACCAAUCUCUAAUCUAUCCCUCAGUUUCCAUCCAUCCUUCCAUCCCAGUCUGUAUCAUCCAUCCCAGUCUCUUUCCAUUUAUCACUGUCUCCAUCCACCCAACCCAGUUUCCAUAGUCCAUCCUAGUCUCUUUCCAUCUGGCAUAGUCUCUAUCCAUUUAUCCCAGUCUCUGUUCAUCCACCACAGUCUCCAUCCAUCCAUCACUGUCUGUCUGUCCUUCACAGUCUCCAACAGAUGUCCCCUGUCAGUCAAGUAAGCCAAGCAUCUUCCCUUCUAGGGCUUCCUGUGCUAUUUAGUCUCCCCCUUCUACAAAUAAGGACUCUAAGGCUCAGAGAACUGACAUGAACAGCUUGGACAUCAUACAAAAGGGAAAUGGCAAAGUCUGAAUUCAAAACCAGAUCAACUUGAUCCAAAAUCUACAUCCUUUGACACUUUGUCAUGAAGUUUCUCCUUAACGACAGAAAACACUUGGGGUAGUACGUGGCAUUUUAGGGACUUCACAUUUUAAUGAAUAUGAUAGAAGAUGAGAGAAGAAGAGAGGAGAGAAGGCAGUAGGAUACGGUAGGAUAGAACAGAGCAGAAAGUAUUUUCCAUCACAGAACAAAAAUGUGGCUAAUAAAGUUAUCUGAUGAAUUAUAUCAGAUUUUUCCCCUUUCCACUUUCCUUUCUAAACUUUAGUUCUACCCAUCUACCCCAUAAAGGUGCUCCUGUGAACCUCCCUGCAUAUGCUUAAAGAAUUAAGUGAAUAGCAUUUUCAUAUCUGUAGAAUCUCCAAAGAAUUCUAUUAAGAGCCACCACUGGCCGGGAGCAGUGGCUCACGCCUGUAAUCCCAGCACUUUGGGAGGCCCAGGUAGGUGGAUCACCUGAGGUCAGGAAUUCAAGACCGGCCUGGCCAACAUGGUGAAACUCCAUCUCUACUAAAAAUGCAAAAAAAUUAGCUGGGCAUGGUGGUGAUACCUGUAAUCCCAGCUACUCAGGAGGCUGAGGCAGAAGAACCACUUGAACCUGGGAGGCGGAGGUUGCAGUGAGGCAAGAUUGCGCCGCUGCACUCCAGCCUGGAUGACAGUGAGACUCCAUCUUAAAAAAAAAAAAAAAGCCAUCACUUAUUGAGUGCCUACUAUGAGCCAGGCACUAUACAAGGUAUUUUCCCAACCUUGUUCAUAAAACACCUCUAAAAUGGACAACAUUAGCCCCAUUGUACACAACGAAACAAAGCUCAGAGUAGUUAGGGUUCCACAGUCACAGACAAAAGUCCCGAGUAGAGAUCUGUCCCUGGACCUAAUUCUAAAACUCCUGUUCUUUGUACUCUGUUCAGCUGUCUGUCAAGAAAUCAAUGGGGUUCACUUCAGUUAGGGAGUAACUGUGACCUGGUCAUGGGGAGGGAAGCAAAUCCUCAUCAGAAGCCCCUCCAGAGCACCAUGGGAGGACCACCUGGGAAAGCUGUACACCAGUGCGACUCCAUGUAGUCCCCCAAACGGCAGCAGCAGCAUCACCUGGAGGCUGGUUAGAAAUCACAUUUGUGGACCCCACUCAGACCCACUGAAUCAGCAGCACUUCUGAGUCUGUCGGCAAGCUCUCCAGCUGCUCUGAUGCCUGCUAAACUUUGCGAACCUCUGCUGAACACAGCCUCGCAUUGUGAUCAGUGGCAAGAAACAACACUGGCCAACCACAGAUUGAGAAAAUUAGACAUGGAAAAACAUGCAUCUUCCUCCAAGGACUCAGAGUUCCCUGUGGAAUGGGAAACUGAACCCAGAAAGCUUCAUUUCAGGUUCUGCUCCACAAUUAAGAGUUCCUCCAUCCUUGCAGUGUGAAGGAAUAGAGGCUAGCAAAUUAGAAUAUUCACUGGCAAAGCUGGCAAAUUAGACUAUUCACUGGCAAAGCCAGACCUGCUUUAGAAAACUGUGGACCCCAGUGAACCCUCACUGCACCCUCACUGCAUCCUCAGUUCAUUGUGGAUUUUCUAUCUGGCCCCCAAGGAUCUAGUAGUAAAUAAGAUAAAGUCCCUGCUGUCCAGACUGUAGCAGCCUACAACUAUAGGGGAUGCCAUUUGCAUCCUGUGUGAGCCUGUGUAACUCACACUGGGGAAUUUCUUCCUUAGGGCAGAUUCCUUUCCUUCCUCUAGAGGGCAGGUAAAUAGAACUAAAGGCCAGGAGCACGCUGAAGGAUGCAUGCAUCUUCAUGGCUGUUGCUACCAUAAUAUUACUACUGAUAAAAGAAAAACAUCAGUCAAAUUAAUUUUAAAGGAGUUUAAUUGAGGAAUGAACAAUUCAUGAAUUGGGCAGCCCCCAGAGUCACAGUAGAUUCACAGAGACUCCACCACAGCCACGUGGAGGAAGAAGAUUUAUAGGCAAAAAAAAGGGAAAUGUAUAACAUACAGAAAUCAGCAGUGAAGUACAGAAACAGCUGGAUUGGUUACAGGUUGGCACUUGCCUUAUUUGAACACAGUUUGAACACUCAGCAGUCUUUGAGUGGCUGAAGUAUGGCUGCUGGGAUUGGCAAAGACUCAGUGAUUGUUACAAGUGCAUACUCUUAAGUUAGGUUUUCAAUCUUGUCUGACUAUUAAGCUAGGUUACAGUUCAUCUACAAGCACUCAGAUAUAAGACUAUGGAGUCCUUCUCAGGCCGUAUUUAGUUUGCUUUAACACUGCAUUUUUCUCCCAAGACAUUUUACCAAUUUUCACUACUAGCAGAGAUAGCAAAUGUAUCAUUUUCAACAGAAACUCAUCAGCAUUGAGUGCUAACAUUUUUUUUCAAACAUGUGCCAAUUGAAUUAGUUUACAACAGUCCCUGGAGACAAGCUAUGGAUUUAAAUACGCUCCCUGGCAGUCUUACUCUUCCCUCAGAGGCUUCUUUCAGUAUAUGAGAUGAUACUGUCUGUUGUGGACUGAAUGAGUCCCACUCCAAAGUUCUUAUGUUGUAUUCCUAACCCCCAAUGUUAUGGUAUUAGGAGGUAGCAACUCUGGGAGGUAAUCAGGUCAUAAGAGUGGAGCUCUCACAAAUGGGAUUAGUGCCCUUAUAAAAAGAUACAAAAGAGUUUGUUUCCACUAGGCGUGGUGGCUUAUGCCUGUAAUCCCAGCACUUUGGGAGGCGGAGGCAGGCAGAUCACCUGAAGUCAGGAGGUCAAGACCAGCUUGACCAACAUGGAGAAACCCCAUCUUUACUAAAAAUACAAAAUUAGGCAAGCAUGGUGAUACACGCCUGUAAUCCCAGCUACUCGGGAGCCUGAGGCAGAAGAAUUGCUUGAACCCAGGAGGUGGAGGUUGUGGUGAGCCAAGACUGUGCCACUGCACUCCAGCCUGGGUGACAAGAGCAAAAGUCCAUCUCAAGGGAAAAAAAAAAAAAAAAAAAGACUGUUUCAUCUCUCUCUCUCUCUCUCUCUCUGCCCUCCACCAUGUAAGGAUACAAUGAGAAGGUCAUCUGCAAACCAGAAAGUGGCCCUCACCAGACACUGGACCUGCCAGUGCCUUGCUCUUGGACUUUCCGCCCUCUAGAACUAUGAGAAAUGUUUGCAUUAAGCCACCUAGUCUAUGGUAUUCCAUUAUAGAAGUCCAAACUAACUAAGACAGACACUCUCAGAUGAUGAAUGUGAAACCACCUUUGCAAAAGUUCUAUCAGUGAGAAGAUUGUAACACUAAGCUAAGCUAAACUAACCCAAACCCCAUCUAGCCUUUCCCUUAGUUAUUCCUGGGCUACUGGGCCAAGCUAACUCUGAAAGGUACUUAGGCUAUAGUUUAAAAUGAUAACAGGCCUUGCCUAAAACUCAACCACUUUUGUAAAGCUAAUGGGAGGCCAUCAGGCUGUGCGCAGGAAAGGAGUCUGAAUCCUGUUAAGGUGCAGACAUUAUUCCAGAGAUUACAACAUAUGCAGCUUCCCCAAUUACUCCUGCAAAUAACAACACUGCUGUAGAUUGGCCUUUUGGGAUACCUUUCCAGGUUUUUUGCAUGUCUGACACCCAUGGCUCCACCGGGAUAAGCUUCUGUUGUCCCCACCCAGAAGCAAUUUGGCCCACAAGAGGACAGUUUUAACCCUCUAUGAUUUCCUCUCCACCCCCAACCAAUCAGCAACAAGCACCUGUUACCUGGCCACCCUCACCCUUUCCUUCAAACCACCUUUGAAAAACCCCUAACCUAUGCACGAGAUGACUUGAGUACAAAACUCCGUCUCUCAUGUGGCAUGGCUAGUCUAUGUCUCUUAAACUCUUUCUCCACUACAAUGCCAUGGUCUUUCUUUAUCCAAUGGGCAAGAGAACCCCUCAGGCAGUUACAAAUGUCAGAGUUAAAACAGGACACUGAUAUAGCUGAAUGGUCUUCCUAGAACGUAAGGCAGGAGAAGGGUCUCCCACUAGGGUUUAAGUUUUCUCUGUGGAAUAAUAUGGAUCCUCGUGUUGGACAUGAAAAGGAAGGAGAAAGAGAGCAGCAUCCUCCAAAAACUCUGACCAUCCAGGCAGCACCUUGCUCCCCAGGAGGAGCUGGCUCUCUUCUUACCCAUCAUUGGCUCCCUAUCCCCUCAGGAGCCCCCACUCCAAGCUAGACACAUCCUCCUUGGGCAGGUCUUUCCUGACCUCCAUCCAGAAGGCAGGGCUGGAGGCUCCCCCACCAUCCCUCCUUGCUGGAGCAGACCUUGACUGAGGCCCUUUGCUGUAGGAAUAGUGAACUUGCCUUUUCUCCUGGGUAUUCCCUAUCAGACCAAGAAGGCCAGGACCUGUGCUCAGCUGCCUCAUGUCCCCAGCAGUGACACGUUCCUGGCUCAGCACAGGUGCUCAGCCAAUGUUUGCAUAACCCAAUGCAGCAGAAGGCUCAGAAAGAGAAUAGAUACUCUGGGCAAAUUGGUAAUAGAAGGUAAGUCACCGUCACCAGCCUAAUGUGAUCCUUGCCAAUCUAGUCCUUCAGGAAUCCCCAGUGAACUCCAGAUUCCUGGUGAUACGGGAACUAGAAAGAAAUUACUCAGGCAGAUAGUGAGGGUAAAAGAGUCCUCGGCAGAAUUUCCCUUUUAACAAAAAGCAGCCUCAAAAUCCUUUCUUUUCUAACAAAGAGCAGCCUGAAAAAUUGAGCUCCAGACAUAGAUAAGCAAGCUGGAAGCCUGCACAGGUGAAUGCUGGCAGCUGUGUCAAUAGAAAAGUGCUACCUGGGGGCCAGGCAUGUUCAACAUGGAGGCACCAUCUUCUCUUUUGCCACCACGUGUACUGUAAAGAAACAACAUGGCGCCAACCAGGCAGAGAACCAUUUGCAAGACAAAAGAUUAGGGUGAGGGCAGCCAGAAACUCACACCCUAUGCAAAUGAAACACCUGGUCCAACCAAUCCUUUGCACCCUGUGUAAAUCAGACACUGCCUCCUCAGGCUCAUCUAUAAAACCUCCUACAUUUCACAGUGAAAGCAACAACCCACUUCUCCAGGACCCCUCUCUGCUGCAGAGAGCUCUUCUCUUUCGCCCAUUAAACUUCCACUCUGAACCUCACUAUGUGUCCACGUCCUAGUUUUCCGUGACUGUGACACAACGAAUCUUGGGUAUCAUCUCCAAACAACAACACUGCUUCACUGGGCUCCCUUAACUUCAGGAGCUCAGCAACAUCAGCAGGUCAUUUAAUCCCAACCACUCUCCUUUUAUUUUCAGAUGUCCUUAAUUCAGACUCUGCUGCUAUUCACUGAGGUUCUUCAAGUUCUCACAUUAUUGUGUUCCCUUUUCUAACCCUACCCUAAUCCUACAUUUCAGAAUAGAAAAACGUAUUUUACAAUUCUUGGGCUUCAGAAGAAAUAAAAACAGUCUCAUAUUUCAUGAGCACUUUGCACAGUACUACCUUCGUCUCAAUCCUCAAAAACAACCCUGAGCAGUGGGUUAUUAUUAUCCCAUUUUACAGGCAGGGGCUAGGUUACCUGCCUGCAUUCACACAGCCAGUAAUUGGCAGGUAGGAUUUAAAUCCUGGCAGGCCCUGCCCCAAGUCAUGGGCUCUUUCCUCCAUAUUCUUGCUGCAAUCAACAUCAAAUACCUGACAACUCUCCUUUAGCUUGGUCACUGGCUUCCAUGAGAAUACCAGUACCUUCUCAUGGCAUGUUGUCCUGCCCUUAGCAAAUGGAAGUAAAUGCUAAUACUGUCUCAAUGUCACAGGACUGUAAAAAAGGAGAAUCACAGGCUCUAAAGCCAAUUGAAAGUUGUGGAGCCUCUGAUGUGUCCUUGUGUUGCUCAUCAGAACAGCUUGUUCCAAGGCGUAAUGUCUACUUUGAGAAAGCCCCAGCAUGGCUCCUAGGGCUAGGCUGCCACAACACUCAUAAAUCGCAGUGACACUCAUGUUUACAACAUCUCUGUCUGCUCUUCAUAAAUGGAAUUCACACAAUUCAGGUGAGCUGGAGAAUUAGGCUUAUGAGCAUGGCAUCUGGAUAUGAAAGUGAAAAAAUGUCCACGCUGGAAAGAUAUUGGAAAUACCCAGCCCAGUACUCUUAUUCUACCCAUAAAGCAGCUGAAGUUCAAGAUCCUAGCCUGACUCUGGCCCUCAGACUGCCCAUCUGAGGGAAGGGUGAACUCACUCCUCCACUGAGGUUCAUUCUAAUCUAACUAUCUGUGAGACUAGAGGCCCCACUGAGGCUCAAACCCAGCUCUCUGGCCUGGAAGUGCACUAAUCUCUGGACUGGAAGGGAACAUGGCAGAAACAAUAAACAAAAAUGGAGCCAAGCAUGCUUCUUCUAAGACAGGAGAAAGAAGGAUCCAUGGCCCAUUUGGGGGCUACAGAUGGCUGUCUUUUGUUGCAUAAAAUAGAAUCCAUCACGAUUGGUUUCACUUUCCUUCCCACAAAUAAUCCAAACCUUCGGAUCAAGACCCAAGACACAUGCUGUCAGCCAAGUGUGUUGAGCAUACACAGAACAAAGUGAAGGCCAAGCUUUAGGUACUCAGCUCACAAGGAGCUGGUACCCCACGUGGAGAGCAGCAAGAAAUAAACAAAAAGGUGCCAACUCUUCACUAGCCGGCUACACUGUCUUAAUCUUAAUGACAGUGAUUUGAAUGGAAAAGGAAUGCAGGAGCAGGCCAUUUAUCACUCUUAAAUAAUAAGUUAAAGUUACAGAGAUUGAAUUGGGCCAAGACUGGCUUUUAAUACCGAGAGGGGGGAUAAAUCAAUUAUGGAACUCGCACGCCUCCUAGUGGCAUAUCUGGAUUACUGCUGGGGAGGCUUCCUCUCCCACUUGGAACCAUCGGCCCUGCCCCAAGGUUCACCGGGACAUGAUCAGUCCAUAUCAACUGAGAGCUUCCUUUAGACCAGGCUCUGGGCUAUGUGCCAUUGCAUAAUUAGUAUCAUUAAUGCUCACACUAGGUGACUCUCAUUAGACCCAUUUUAUAGACAAUGAAAGAAAAGCUCAAAAAGCUUCCAUCACUUGCCCAGACUUACGGUGGAAAGGAUUCCAACCAAGAUUUGUGGAAUUCCCUGUUCAGAGCUCCCUCCCCAACAUCACACUGAGUACAGAGUGUUGAGGAUACAGAGGUGAAUAAGAUCCAGAACUGUUGGGCCGUUUGAUCUUACCGCGUUCACAUAUUUUAACUGGGCAGGAAGACUCAUAUUAAAUAACCAGAACGCAAAGUCCUAAGUGCUGUUUGCAAAAGGAGUCCAGUUCAUGUGCUCCGGGAUCCCAGUCCUCCCGAACCCCGGAGCAUCCCUGACUCAGCACCCAGGCCCGGGGAAGCAGGGGGCUGGUGCGUAGGCCACUACAUUGUUAGUGA